GACGAACGCUGGCGGCGUGCUUAACACAUGCAAGUCGAACGGAAAGGCCCUGCUUUUGUGGGAUGCUCGAGUGGCGAACGGGUGAGUAACACGUGAGUAACCUGCCCUUGACUUUGGGAUAACUUCAGGAAACUGGGGCUAAUACCGGAUAGGAGCUCCUGCUGCAUGGUGGGGGUUGGAAAGUUUCGGCGGUUGGGGAUGGACUCGCGGCUUAUCAGCUUGUUGGUGGGGUAGUGGCUUACCAAGGCUUUGACGGGUAGCCGGCCUGAGAGGGUGACCGGCCACAUUGGGACUGAGAUACGGCCCAGACUCCUACGGGAGGCAGCAGUGGGGAAUAUUGCACAAUGGGCAGAAGCCUGAUGCAGCAACGCCGCGUGCGGGAUGACGGCCUUCGGGUUGUAAACCGCUUUCGCCUGUGACGAAGCGUGAGUGACGGUAAUGGGUAAAGAAGCACCGGCUAACUACGUG
Molecule: ribosomal RNA, 468 nt
Filed under: uncultured bacterium
Lineage: Bacteria
Description: partial 16S ribosomal RNA
Rfam family: Bacterial small subunit ribosomal RNA
Source: RNAcentral